This 469-nucleotide ribosomal RNA is filed under the name uncultured Pelotomaculum sp. Its description in RNAcentral is "bacterial SSU rRNA". It matches the Rfam family "Bacterial small subunit ribosomal RNA", at positions 917 to 1381 of the family's 1533-position model. Lineage: Bacteria; Bacillati; Bacillota; Clostridia; Eubacteriales; Desulfotomaculaceae. The record is from RNAcentral.
GACGGGGCCGCACAAGCGGUGGAGCAUGUGGUUUAAUUCGACGCAACGCGAAGAACCUUACCAGGGCUUGACAUCCCCUGACCGCGUAUGAAAGUACGUUUUCACCCUCGGGUGACAGGGAGACAGGUGGUGCAUGGUUGUCGUCAGCUCGUGUCGUGAGAUGUUGGGUUAAGUCCCGCAACGAGCGCAACCCCUACGUUUAGUUGCUAACGCGUGAAGGCGAGCACUCUAGACGAACUGCCGUUGACAAAACGGAGGAAGUGGGAUGACGUCAAAUCAUCAUGCCCCUUAUGUUCUGGGCUACACACGUGCUACAAUGGCCGGUACAGACGGACGCAAAGCCGCGAGGUGGAGCAAAUCCUAAAAAGCCGGUCUCAGUUCGGAUUGCAGGCUGCAAUUCGCCUGCAUGAAGUCGGAAUCGCUAGUAAUCGCAGGUCAGCAUACUGCGGUGAAUACGUUCCCGGGCCUU